UCGCAUUCUUGUUGUGGACCCCCGGUUCCCUGGUUCGUGCCAUGACUCUUGGGUGUGGCAGCGUAACCCGCUGCGUGCACGCCUAGCCGCACAACUGCAGCCUGGCGAGUAUCUGCUUGGAGACUCAGGAUAUCCUCUCGAGCCAUGGCUGCUUGUUCCAGUACCUGGCAGCCAUGCCGGCACCACCUCUGAAGGCCACUACAACCAGGAGCACGCAUCCAUGCGCAAUGUUGUGGAGAGAUGUAUCGGGGUGUUGAAAAGCAAGUUCCGCUGCUUGCAGCGCUUUCGGACACUGCUGUACAGCCCCGAUAGAGCAGCGCGAAUCAUUUAUGCAUGCGUUGCUCUCCAUAACAUUGCCUUGGAGGCGGGCGACUGGACAUUGGACGAUUAUGGUGGGGAAGUGCCACCAGCUGAGGAGCCAGAAGAGCCAGGAGACACCCAGGUGCUGGCACCACACGACAUGUUCCUCAGAGGAAGGCAGCAGCGCAGCGCCGUUGUCAACCUUUUCUGAAGGACACAGGAAUGGUGCUCAGCGAUGUCCUGCGCUAUGGCGCGCACCUGUUCCAGGAUCCCCUCCUGGGCUGCUGCCGUCCGUUCUGCCGCGACAGCGAGGCGGGUUGUUGAAGCCUCGAUUCUGCGCAGCACCUGGAAUGAAUAAUCAUGGUGGAACUGUUCGCAUCAGUUGCUGAUUACUCGCAACCAG
RNAcentral lists this long non-coding RNA (703 nucleotides) under Dermacentor andersoni. RNAcentral describes it as "uncharacterized LOC126523460". The record is from RNAcentral. Lineage: Eukaryota; Metazoa; Arthropoda; Arachnida; Ixodida; Ixodidae.